CCUACGGGUGGCAGCAGUGAGGAAUAUUGGUCAAUGGACGAGAGUCUGAACCAGCCAAGUAGCGUGAAGGAUGACUGCUCUAUGGGUUGUAAACUUCUUUUAUAUGGGAAUAAAUUGUUCCACGUGUGGGAUUUUGUAUGUAUCAUAUGAAUAAGGAUCGGGUAACUCCGUGCCAGCAGCAGCGGUAAUACGGAGGAUCCGAGCGUUAUCCGGAUUUAUUGGGUUUAAAGGGAGCGUAGGUGGAUUGGUAAGUCAGUUGUGAAAGUUUGCGGCUCAACCGUAACAUUGCAGUUGAAACUGGAAGUCUAGAGUACAGUAGAGGUAGGCGGAAUUCGUGGUGGAGCGGUGAAAUGCUUAGAUAUCACGAGGAACACCGAUUGCGAAGGCAGCUCACUGGACUGCAACUGACACUGAGGCUCGAAAGUGUGGGGAGCAAACAGGAUUAGAUACCCCAGUAGUC
RNAcentral lists this ribosomal RNA (460 nucleotides) under uncultured bacterium. RNAcentral's name for it is "partial 16S ribosomal RNA". It matches the Rfam family "Bacterial small subunit ribosomal RNA", at positions 338 to 795 of the family's 1533-position model. The record is from RNAcentral.